CCUUUUAAUAUUAAACUCUUUAGAGAAGUGUUUAUUUUUAAUAUAGUAUGUUUAAUAUAUAUAUUUUUGUUACACGUCACAAUAUUUAAUCUUAUUGUUACAAUUAUUUUUAUAUUAAUUACCGAUAAAUAUACUGUCUAUCCAGAAAAAACCUCUCAUAAAAUUCAUUUAUUUUUAGAUCACCAAUGGGUUAUUAAUUAAAAUAUCUUUAUUCACACCAUAUUUUGGAAUUUUCUAAACUUCAUAAGAAAACUAAAUAGCAAAAGGGAUGUUUAGAUAGAG
Molecule: long non-coding RNA, 282 nt
Filed under: Gossypium raimondii (Peruvian cotton)
Lineage: Eukaryota; Viridiplantae; Streptophyta; Magnoliopsida; Malvales; Malvaceae
Description: long non-coding RNA (GRAI_LNC000446)
Source: RNAcentral